CCUUCGGGGUGACGCUCGUGGAACGAGCGGCGGACGGGUGAGUAACACGUGGGCAACCUGCCUGUAAGAUCGGGAUAACUCCGGGAAACCGGGGCUAAUACCGGGUAAUACUUUCUUUCGCAUGAAGGAAAGUUGGAAGGUGGCUUCUCGCUAUCACUUACAGAUGGGCCCGCGGCGCAUUAGCUAGUUGGUGAGGUAACGGCUCACCAAGGCAACGAUGCGUAGCCGACCUGAGAGGGUGAUCGGCCACACUGGGACUGAGACACGGCCCAGACUCCUACGGGAGGCAGCACUCGGAAAUCUUCCGCAAUGGACGAAAGUCUGACGGAGCAACGCCGCGUGAACGAUGAAGGUCUUCGGAUCGUAAAGUUCUGUUGUUAGGGAAGAACAAGUACCGUGCGAAUAGAGCGGUACCUUGACGGUACCUAACGAGGAAGCCCCGGCUAACUACGUGCCAGCAGCCGCGGUAAUACGUAGGGGGCAAGCGUUGUCCGGAAUUAUUGGGCGUAAAGCGCGCGCAGGCGGUUCCUUAAAUCUGAUGUGAAAGCCCACGCCUCAACCGUGGAGGGUCAUUGGAAACUGGGGAACUUGAGGACAGAAGAGGAGAGUGGAAUUCCACGUGUAGCGGUGAAAUGCGUAGAUAUGUGGAGGAACACCAGUGGCGAAGGCGACUCUCUGGUCUGUGGCUGACGCUGAGGUGCGAAAGCGUGGGUAGCAAACAGGAUUAGAUACCCUGGUAGUCCACGCAAGUAAACAAUGAGUGCUAGGUGUUAGGGAGCUUCCACCCCUUAGUGCUGAAGUUAACGCAUUAAGCACUCCGCCUGGUGGAGUACGGCCGCAAGGCUGAAUACUCAAAAGAAUUGACGGGGGCCCACACAAGCGGUGGAGCAUGUGGUUUAAUUCGAAGCAACGCGAAGAACCUUACCAGGUCUUGACAUCCUCUGCACCUCCCAUAGAGAUAGGGAUUUCCCUUCGGGGACCAAGUGACAGAUGGUGCAUGGUUGUCGUCAGCUCGUGUCGUGAGAUG
Molecule: ribosomal RNA, 1027 nt
Filed under: Halobacillus sp.
Lineage: Bacteria; Bacillati; Bacillota; Bacilli; Caryophanales; Bacillaceae
Description: bacterial SSU rRNA
Rfam family: Bacterial small subunit ribosomal RNA
Source: RNAcentral